GCUUUCUCCCAAUCAUCCACAACUUCAGACAACUCUACUUGACUUGAAAUUCCUCCAAGCCGCUCAGGUGAACUGAAAAUGCUUGAAUUUGAUUCUAUUCCUAAAUUAGAUGCCCGUUUAGCAGGAUCUUCAGUCCGAAUAGAUGUGGUAGAUGCCUUGGAAAUCGAUUCAGAAUCCAAGGCACUCCAUCUAUUAAUCGUAGCAGCAAUAGGAGCUUCUUUUCCCUUCCAAGCGGAAGCCUGCACAUCCCCAGAUCCGUGACACCACUCUUCGCUGCCCCAUGAAUCUUCCCUCCAACCAU
Molecule: unclassified non-coding RNA, 301 nt
Filed under: Hevea brasiliensis (rubber tree)
Lineage: Eukaryota; Viridiplantae; Streptophyta; Magnoliopsida; Malpighiales; Euphorbiaceae
Source: RNAcentral